RNAcentral lists this ribosomal RNA (326 nucleotides) under uncultured Proteiniphilum sp. RNAcentral's name for it is "bacterial SSU rRNA". It matches the Rfam family "Bacterial small subunit ribosomal RNA", at positions 1057 to 1382 of the family's 1533-position model. The record is from RNAcentral. Lineage: Bacteria; Pseudomonadati; Bacteroidota; Bacteroidia; Bacteroidales; Dysgonomonadaceae.
GUCCCGUGCCGUGAGGUGUCGGCUUAAGUGCCAUAACGAGCGCAACCCUCAUCAUUAGUUACCAUCAGGUAAGGCUGGGGACUCUAAUGAGACUGCCAUCGUAAGAUGUGAGGAAGGUGGGGAUGACGUCAAAUCAGCACGGCCCUUACGUCCGGGGCGACACACGUGUUACAAUGGGUGGUACAAAGGGCAGCUACCUGGCGACAGGAUGCUAAUCUCCAAAACCACUCUCAGUUCGGAUCGGAGUCUGCAACUCGACUCCGUGAAGCUGGAUUCGCUAGUAAUCGCGCAUCAGCCACGGCGCGGUGAAUACGUUCCCGGGCCUU